This 301-nucleotide ribosomal RNA is filed under the name uncultured bacterium. RNAcentral's name for it is "partial 16S ribosomal RNA". It matches the Rfam family "Bacterial small subunit ribosomal RNA", at positions 509 to 807 of the family's 1533-position model. The record is from RNAcentral.
CAGUCGCCACGGUAAUACGUAGGUGGCAAGCGUUGUCCGGAAUUAUUGGGCGUAAAGGGCUCGCAGGCGGUUUCUUAAGUCUUAUGUGAAAGCCCCCGGCUCAACCGGGGAGGGUCAUUGGAAACUGGGAAACUUGAGUGCAGAAGAGGAGAGUGGAAUUCCACGUGUAGCGGUGAAAUGCGUAGAGAUGUGGAGGAACACCAGUGGCGAAGGCGACUCUCUGGUCUGUAACUGACGCUGAGGAGCGAAAGCGUGGGGAGCAAACAGGAUUAGAUACCCCUGUAGUCCCUGUCUCUUAUAC